Long non-coding RNA from Gasterosteus aculeatus aculeatus (three-spined stickleback), 649 nucleotides. The record is from Ensembl. NCBI's taxonomy places the organism in Eukaryota, Metazoa, Chordata, Actinopteri, Perciformes, Gasterosteidae.
GGCUAAAUUUACUGGUAGAAAUUAUCUUAAUACUUUAUUCGGCUAUUGUUUAUAUUCGGGAGCAGUUGUUGUGGGAGUGUGAUGACAGAUGGAUGGUUCUGAAGAACGUUGGAUCAGCAGGAAACAGCCACUCCUGAUGAAUCCACUUCCUCCUGGUUGACGUCUGUGUUUUAUUUCAGUAUAAACAACAAAACACUGAUAUGCACAAUAGGGACAUCAAAACUGUAGAAGGCUAAAGCUGUUGGUUGUACAUCAAGAACUGUCAACAAUGAUUCCUGAGCCGAUGUGGGGCUCCCGUGAUGCUAGUCACCAGCCGUUAUGGUCUGCCGUCCAAGAUAGAAAAGGCGAGUCGGCAGGAGGACGAGGAGGGUGACGGAUGAAGAGAGGGAGAGAAAAGAAGAAAUUUUCAGUUCAGUUUAUUUAAAAUGUACUUUCAAUGUAUUUCCUUAUUGAUAAUUUUUGUCUCAUUGAAAAAUCACAAUUUUCACAAAAUUAAUAUAAAGAAUAUAAAUAUUAAUUGCAGUGUGGCAGAUUUGUGGCAAUACUGACUGAUGUCAACAAGACAACAAAUAAUGAACAUACAUAUUGAAUAUAUUAUUUCAAUAUGUGUUAAUGCCUCUCGGGGACUUUAAUAAUUAAAAUGGCUCUC